UAAGGCUAAAUACUCCCUAGUGACCGAUAGUGAAGCAGUACCGUGAGGGAAAGGUGAAAAGCACCCCGGAAGGGGAGUGAAAAAGAACCUGAAACCGUGUGCUUACAAGAAGUCAGAGCCCGAUCUAUGGGUGAUGGCGUGCCUUUUGUAGAAUGAACCGGCGAGUUACGUUUGCAAGCAAGGUUAAGCCGAGAAGGUGGAGCCGCAGCGAAAGCGAGUCUGAAUAGGGCGAAUGAGUUUGUAGGCGUAGACCCGAAACCGUGUGAUCUACCCCUGUCCAGGGUGAAGGUGCGGUAACACGCACUGGAGGCCCGAACCCACGUACGUUGAAAAGUGCGGGGAUGAGGUGGGGGUAGCGGAGAAAUUCCAAUCGAACUCGGAGAUAGCUGGUUCUCCCCGAAAUAGCUUUAGGGCUAGCCUCGGUGGGAUAGUCGUGGAGGUAGAGCACUGAUUGGGUGCGGGGCCCGCCAAGGGUUACCAAGCUCAGUCAAACUCCGAAUGCCAUAGACUGAAUAACCGGGAGUCAGACAGUGAGUGCUAAGAUCCAUUGUCAAAAGGGAAACAGCCCAGACCAUCAGCUAAGGUCCCCAAGUGUGUGUUAAGUGGGAAAGGAUGUGGAGUUGCACAGACAACCAGGAUGUUGGCUUAGAAGCAGCCACCAUUUAAAGAGUGCGUAAUAGCUCACUGGUCGAGUGACUCUGCGCCGAAAAUGUAACGGGGCUAAACACACCACCGAAGCUAUGGCUUGAUGCAUUGCAUCAGGGGUAGGGGAGCGUUGAAUACGGGUUGAAGCUAGACCGGAAGGACUGGUGGACUGUAUUCAAGUGAGAAUGCCGGUAUGAGUAACGAAAAGAUCAGUGAGAAUCUGAUCCGCCGAAAGCCUAAGGGUUCCUGAGGAAGGUUCGUCCGCUCAGGGUAAGUCGGGACCUAAGGCGAGGCCGAAAGGCGUAGUCGAAGGACAACAGGUUUAAAUUCCUGUACCACCGUAAUCCGUUAUGAGCGAUGGGGUGACGCAGUAGGGUAGUGACGCGGGGCGAUGGAAUGCCCCGUCCAAGCAGUGAGGCUGGUGUGUAGGCAAAUCCGCACAUCGUAAGGCUGGGCUGUGAUGGGGAGGGAAAAUUUACAGUACCGAAGGUCAUGAUCUCACACUGCCAAGAAAAGCCUCUAGUCAGGAGAAGGUGCCCGUACCGCAAACCGACACAGGUAGGCGAGAAGAGAAUUCUAAGGCGCGCGGAAGAACUCUCGUUAAGGAACUCGGCAAAAUGACCCCGUAACUUCGGGAGAAGGGGUGCCCCGGUAGAGUGAAUAGCUCGAGGGGGCCGCAGUGAAAAGGCCCAAGCGACUGUUUAGCAAAAACACAGGUCUGUGCGAAGCCGCAAGGCGAAGUAUACGGGCUGACGCCUGCCCGGUGCUGGAAGGUUAAGGGGAGUGGUUAGGGGUUUACCCCGAAGCUAUGAACCGAAGCCCCAGUAAACGGCGGCCGUAACUAUAACGGUCCUAAGGUAGCGAAAUUCCUUGUCAGGUAAAUUCUGACCCGCACGAAUGGCGUAACGACUUGGGCGCUGUCUCAACGAGAGAUCCGGUGAAAUUUUAAUACCUGUGAAGAUGCAGGUUACCCGCGACAAGACGGAAAGACCCCAUGGAGCUUUACUGCAGCUUGAUAUUGGACUUUGAUACGAUUUGUACAGGAUAGGUGGGAGCCUAGGAAGCCGGAGCGCCAGCUUCGGUGGAGGCGCCGUUGGGAUACCACCCUGAUCGUAUCGGAGUUCUAACCUGGUACCGUGAUCCGGUAUGGGGACAGUGUCAGGCGGGCAGUUUGACUGGGGCGGUCGCCUCCUAAAGAGUAACGGAGGCGCCCCAAGGUUCCCUCAGAAUGGUUGGAAAUCAUUCGAAGAGUGCAAAGGCAAAAGGGAGCUUGACUGCGAGACUGACAAGUCGAGCAGGGACGAAAGUCGGGCUUAGUGAUCCGGUGGUACCGCAUGGAAGGGCCAUCGCUCAACGGAUAAAAGCUACCCUGGGGAUAACAGGCUUAUCUCCCCCAAGAGUCCACAUCGACGGGGAGGUUUGGCACCUCGAUGUCGGCUCAUCGCAUCCUGGGGCUGAAGUAGGUCCCAAGGGUUGGGCUGUUCGCCCAUUAAAGCGGUACGCGAGCUGGGUUCAGAACGUCGUGAGACAGUUCGGUCCCUAUCUGUCGUGGGCGUAGGAAAUUUGAGAGGAGCUGUCCUUAGUACGAGAGGACCGGGAUGGACGCACCGCUGGUGCACCAGUUGUUCCGCCAGGAGCACAGCUGGGUAGCUAAGUGCGGACGGGAUAAGCGCUGAAAGCAUCUAAGCGUGAAGCCCCCCUCAAGAUGAGAUUUCCCAAUUAGUAAGACCCCUUGAAGACGACGAGGUUGAUAGGCCUGAGGUGGAAGUGCAGCAAUGUAUGGAGCUGACAGGUACUAAUCGGUCGAGGGCUUA
RNAcentral lists this ribosomal RNA (2459 nucleotides) under Paenibacillus phocaeensis. RNAcentral's name for it is "Bacterial large subunit ribosomal RNA". It matches the Rfam family "Bacterial large subunit ribosomal RNA", at positions 461 to 2925 of the family's 2925-position model. The record is from RNAcentral. Lineage: Bacteria; Bacillati; Bacillota; Bacilli; Caryophanales; Paenibacillaceae.